AUGAGGCAAAUCUUUUGCCCCGUUUUGAAAAGAAAACGAUUCCUUUUGACGGUUUCUCGGCAUGAAUAUUUAUCACUAAGCCAUUCUUGGAGUAGUAGCCAAUCACCUAGGAGAAGCAAACAGUUUGCAACUCUGGUGAUCUUCGCCUCGGACAACCUCUCUUUGGUGCAGCGAGUUAAUUCUUCUAUCCGUGAUCGUUCUAUGGCAGACAUCUAUUUGGUGCAGCGAGUUAAUUAUUCUAUCCGUGAUCGUUCUGUGGCAGACAUCAAGCAUGCUUUUCUUCUGCUAUUUUCAAGCAUAUUCGUCAGCAUUUUAAUGUUUUAG
RNAcentral lists this ribosomal RNA (324 nucleotides) under Triticum aestivum (bread wheat). Its description in RNAcentral is "partial small subunit ribosomal RNA". Lineage: Eukaryota; Viridiplantae; Streptophyta; Magnoliopsida; Poales; Poaceae. The record is from RNAcentral.